GAAGCUGAGUAAGGGCACACGGAGGAUGCCUAGGCGGCGGGAGCCGAAGAAGGACGUGCUAAGCUGCGAAAAGCCCGGAGGAGGUGCACAGGACCUGUGAUGCCGGGAUAUCCGAAUGGGAGAACCUGCAUACCUGGAGGGUAUGCGCGAGAGAGGUAAGCCGGCGAACUGAAACAUCUAAGUAGCCGGAGGAGAAGAAAGUAAAAACGAUUCCCUGAGUAGCGGCGAGCGAACGGGGAGGAGCCUAAACCGUAUAUGUGUUAAAGCUGGCGGCGUUGCAUAUACGGGGUAGAGGGAACAUACUGGACUGAUGCCAUAAGGUCGAGUUGGUCAUGAUGUAAGCGGAACGCGGCUGGAAAGCCGGACCGUAGGAGGUGAGAGUCCUGUAUAGCGUAAAGUCAUGACGGCUUGUAUGUAAUCCCGAGUAGCAUCGGACACGAGGAAUCCGGUGUGAAUCAGCGUGGACCAUAUCACGUAAGGCUAAAUACUUCCGCCGACCGAUAGAGGAGAGUACCGUGAGGGAAAGGUGAAAAGAACCCUGAGCAAGGGAGUGAAAUAGAAUUUGAAACCGUGUGCUUACAAGCGGUAGGAGCCCUUAGGGGUGACUGCGUGGAUUUUGGUUAAUCAUCCUGCGAGUUAUGAUGUGUGGCGAGGUUAAGUGUAAGCGGAGCCGAAGGGAAACCGAGUCUUAAUAGGGCGACGAGUCGCAUGUCAUAGACGCGAAACCUAGUGAUCUAGGCCUGUCCAGGUUGAAGCUGAGGUAAGACUCAGUGGAGGGCCGAACUCACCGCCGUUGAAAAGUUGGGAGAUGAGAUAGGUCUAGGGGUGAAAAGCCAAUCGAACUAGGAGAUAGCUCGUUCUCUCCGAAAUGCAUUUAGGUGCAGCCUUGGUUGAAGAUAUGCGGGGGUAGAGCACUGUAUGGCCUAGGGGGCGUAUAGCUUACCGAAGUCAAGCAAACUGCGAAUACCGUAUAUUGUUUACCAGGAGUGAGUCUACGGAUGACAAGGUCCGUGGACGAGAGGGGAACAGCCCGGACCGCCGGCUAAGGUCCCAAAUCAUGUCUAAGUGGGAAAGGAGGUGGAUAUUCACAGACAACCAGGAGGUUGGCUUAGAAGCAGCCAUACCUUGAAAGAGUGCGUAAUAGCUCACUGGUCGAGAGUAUCUGCGCCGAAGAUAUAACGGGGCUAAGACAUGAACCGAAGCCGCGGAAGCGUGAUAACACGUUUGGUAGGAGAGCGUUCUGUAGGCCGUAGAAGGUGUCCUGUAAGGGAUGUUGGAGGUAUCAGAAGUGAGAAUGCAGGAAUGAGUAGCGAGAAGGAGGGCGAGAAUCCCUCCGGCCGGAAGUCCAAGGUUUCCAGGGGAAGGUUUGUCCGCCCUGGGGGAGUCGGGACCUAAGCAUAAGCAGAGCUGCGAAGGCGAAUGGAAAACAGGUUAAUAUUCCUGUACCGCUGUGUACUGACUGAGAGAUGGAGUGACGCAGGAAGGUAUGCGGGAAGGCUGACGGAAUAGCCUUUCUAAGGGUGAAGCGUGGACAUAUAGGCAAAUCCGUAUGUUUAAACGUGAGGCCUGACGGGUAAGUGCCAUAGGGCAUAAGCCGCAGAUCCUACACUGCCGGGAAAAACUUCUAUUUAGGGAAGCAGCGCCCGUACUGUAAACCGACACAGGUGGACAGAGUGAGAAACUUAAGGCCGACAGGACAACUCUGGCUAAGGAACUCUGCAAAAUGGCCCCGUAACUUAGGGAGAAGGGGUGCCCGUGCUACCUGAAGGGGGAGACACCCGGAGGGGAAGCGGGCCGCAGUGAAGAGUCCCAAGCAACUGUUUACCAAAAACACAGGUCUAUGCUAAGCCGGAAGGCGACGUAUAUGGGCUGACACCUGCCCAGUGCCGGAAGGUUAAGAGGAGGAUUGAGAGAUUCGAAUUGAAGCCCCGGUGAACGGCGGCCGUAACUAUAACGGUCCUAAGGUAGCGAAAUUCCUUGUCGGGUAAGUUCCGACCUGCACGAAUGGUGUAAUGAU
RNAcentral lists this ribosomal RNA (2017 nucleotides) under human metagenome. Its description in RNAcentral is "bacterial LSU rRNA". It matches the Rfam family "Bacterial large subunit ribosomal RNA", at positions 1 to 2008 of the family's 2925-position model. The record is from RNAcentral.